Heterocephalus glaber (naked mole-rat) is the source of this 101-nucleotide small nuclear RNA. The record is from Ensembl. NCBI's taxonomy places the organism in Eukaryota, Metazoa, Chordata, Mammalia, Rodentia, Bathyergidae.
GUGCUCACUUCAGCAGCACAUAUACUAAAAUUGGAAGAAUACAGAGAAGAUUAGCACAACCCCUGCCCAGUGAAUGUAUUUUUUAUAUUUAGCAUAUAUUU